Molecule: ribosomal RNA, 254 nt
Filed under: uncultured bacterium
Lineage: Bacteria
Description: partial 16S ribosomal RNA
Rfam family: Bacterial small subunit ribosomal RNA
Source: RNAcentral
UACGGGGGGAGCAAGCGUUGUUCGGAUUUACUGGGCGUAAAGGGCGCGUAGGCGGUCAGCACAAGUCAGUUGUGAAAUCUCCGAGCUUAACUCGGAAAGGUCAACUGAUACUGUGCGACUAGAGUGCAGAAGGGGCAACUGGAAUUCUCGGUGUAGCGGUGAAAUGCGUAGAUAUCGAGAGGAACACCUGCGGCGAAGGCGGGUUGCUGGGCUGACACUGACGCUGAGGCGCGAAAGCCAGGGGAGCAAACGGG